CGUUCCUGGAUCAUAAUCACCCCCUUAUAAACAAGGCAUGGACUCCCCAGCGACCCCCAUGGACUUCUCGCCACUUCUCAGUCUGGCGCACUAUAAUGAAUCACGCUAUACAAAAGAUAAAGCCGUUGCCCAUGCUGGCUUGUGGUUGGCACGAUAAAUGUUUCACAACAGUAGCUCGCGAACCGGUCCUUAAUUGCCAUGAGCACGACCUUCAAAACCAUGUGCUCACAACCCACCAUUAAUCAUAUUUUAAAUACCAAUUAAUUAUCAUAACACGAUUAACCAUCGUGAGCUACCAUUAAAUAUAACCAUAAAUAAUAAUGUAGUAUAUAUGAUUCAUCCCAUUAGUGAGCUAAUGUUUCUAAGCAUUGCUAAGCAAUUAUAUAUAUAUAACAUUUAGCUGAACCAAACCAAUACAUAAGGUUCAAGCUAAUCAAUUUAUUACCCAAGGUAUCAAGGAAUAGGAUAUUCAAUGCAAAUUGGCCAUAACAAAGGAAUUGGUUCACACCACCCGGUGACAUUCGAAAAUAAAUGCACAGUUGAAACAAAUAGAGAAUUUAAAUAUAGGAUCAACAUGCUCAAAGGAUUGUGUUUAGGAUCUGUGUGACUUGCCUUGCAAUAAUCGGUCUUCAAUUAAUCUUCUUGAUCACUUCCGACGCACUCACGAACCUUCGCAACGACGGAAACGACAAGCUAACACGCAAAACGAAGAAAAAGACUAAUAAAAACCAAAUAAACAGUACAUAAAAAGUAAACAAACAUGUAAAUCAUAAUUUUAGAUGAAUUAUGAGACUUGAACGGCCUCAUUCUGACUUCAAAUGAAUUUAUUAUGAAUUUUACAAGAUUAAAUCUAAUUAAAGCCCAUUUAAAAAGAAUUAAAUAAAUUUAAUUCAAUUUAUGGACAAUUUUAAUAUGUAGAUCUUUAUUUUAGAAAAAAUUUAGCAACUUGAACCACUCGAAACGGAUCUACGGUUAUUUAGAUAUGAUUUUCAGAAGAUUUAAUCUACGGGAAAAAGAAAAACCGAUGACGUCAGCAUGACGUCAUCCAUGGCCGGCCCGGGUUGGCGACCUCGCCGGAGAUUGGAUGGUCGGCUGCGACUUUGGAGGACAUGUACACGUAGAGGACGACGAGACGAACCCAACGGUACUCACCACGACGACAAACGACGAACAAUGACGGCCGGCGACGAGGAGGACGGCGGCGGCGGCUCGGUCGGCGGUGGCGGCGGAGCUCCGGUGACCGGCGACGACGGGGAGAGGGCGGCCGAGGUUCCUCACCUCCGUGCGCACCUAACGGCAGCGAGGGGAAGCGACGGCGACGGCGGAAUCGACGGCGCGACCUCGCCGAAGGUUGGCCGGCGGCGGCGGCGGGUUGGGUGGUGUGGCGGCGGCGCUACAAGGCACGAGAGACCACGGGAGAGGGGGCAAGCGAAAGAGGAGGACUAGGGGGUGCUUUAUAUAGGCUUGGAUUGAAGAGAUCGGACUCCAAACGAGAGGAAUCGAAGCCGGAAAACAAAAUCUCGGUUUUGGAGAUAAACUCGAAAACGAGUUUGAUUUGGAUAAAAUACCCAACGAUUUGCUCCGAUUCUUGGGGGAAAAGAUAGAGGAGGAUGAGAGGAUCAAAACCCCUCAAAAAUCCGGAAGAAACGGGGUCAGAUUGGGUGGGAUUUGGAGGCGGAAAGGCGAUGCGGCGCGCAGCUCGGGCUCUGUCCAGACUGCAGGCUGAAGGUUAGGGACGACACUGUAGCAGGGAGGAAAAAUAGACUUUUCCGGCUUCCUUUUUCCUUGCUUGGGCUGACUGAGAGAGAGGGAGAUCAAACAGACUUUGGAGAGAGAGAGGAGGGCGGCUCGGCUGGGCCGAUUGGGCCGGCUUGGCCGCGCGCGGGAAGAGAAGAGUUGGGCCGAAAUCGGCCCAACGACUUAGGGGAAGAUUUAAAAACUUUUUCCAAUUAAAAUAAUCACUUAAAUGAUCUUUCAAUUGUUAAAAAUACUUCCAAUGCUCAAAUAAUUCCAAGAAAAAUCCUGAAAAUACUUGGACACUAAAAGUACUUAACAAAAUUAUAAUUAGACCAUUUAAUGAUUAAUUUAAUAUUUAAAUAAUUGCUGAACUUCUCUUUGUAUGAUUAAAAAAAUUAAUAAUUGAGCUCCGAAAAAUCCGAGAAAAUUCCAGAGAGUAUAAUUAACCAUGGAGAAUUUAAUAAAAAUUAAAUCCAUCCAUGCUUUAUAUUUGGGAAAUUUUAUUUCCCACAUUUAACUUCACUUGUAAAUUAAUGAACAUUUAAUAUAAAUUCUAUUAAUAAUUUAUUAAAUAAUUUAUAAAUCCUGAAACAAAAAUCAGGAUGUGACAACCAUCGAACGAAGAUGGGUGAAUUAUUUGAGCAAUUUACAAGAUGACUGACUAAACUGCACCCACCUCAUAAGUUGUGAUACCAACGCUGCAUUUUACUCAGGGGAUUAUCAAACCCGAUUACAGUAUUUUAGGGUGCCUCUAAUACCCAUCUAUACAUAUAGAUACGCUGCUAGUAUAAGAUAAGAGGAUAGAAGAAAAGAUUUUUUUACACGCUUAGUUUCCUAAUGUGUUCGAUGUGGGUAACACCGUAACAACCUUAAUACUAUAGGAUCGCACAAGACCAAACAAACCUACCAGAGGGGGGAGUGAAUGGUAAGAAAAACCAAAAACCCAAAAUCUUUUGUGGAAUUAAAGAUUACCCUUGAACGAAGUCGAUGACGAAGUCCAGUCGCCGCCGGUCGAACCGCCUUCCUGCCACCGGUCAGACCGCCGAAGCCUCGCCGGUCAGACCGCCCGGAUACUUGCGGUCAGACCGCCGCUAUCCCACCAGUCAGACCGCGCACACACCUACGGUUAGACCGUUGGGACCCAGAAACAAUGGUAGAUGAUAAACUCGAAGAUGUAGAUUGAAACUUUUUGACUUUAUUGCAUCAACUAGUAUUUACAAAGUGCACCAAUAGCACUCCUCACCAAAAUCUCAAACUAAACUCGAAACCCUAACUCUCUAUCAACUCUAGUCUCUCUAAAACCGAUACCAGGAGGCCUCACCCUCUCUCUCUAUUUAUACAUGAGGUAGACUGUGCAAAGCCCACGAAUCUAUUACAACUUAGAACUCCUAACCCACGUAGCAAACCCUCUCUUGCAAGUAUACAACUCAUCUCUUUCCUUAUCUCAAUCAAACUUCCCGAAUUCGGACUCCUUUCCAAAUUCGACUCCUCUUUCCAUACGUACACAACCCCUCUUGUAUACCAUAUGGAUUUCUUCAUCACCACGUGCAUUGUCCUCUAACCUUUAGUAUCCCGCAUGAUCUCUUGAUCCCUGGACAUCAACUUCUCCCAAGUUGACUCCGAUCUAUUACCGGCAACACUCUGCCGAGGCCUCAAGCAACACCUACACAUGCAACAACCAAGAAACCAUAUUCCGAGCCCAAGUUCGUUCCAACUUGACUCACAUUAGUAUAACAACAGUAUCCAUACGCAUAGAAACCAUCUAGAAGCCAAAUCCCCGAAGGAAAUAUCCAAAUCCAACAAAACAAUCCGAAACCGACAUCGAUCAGGAUCCUGCGGGUCAGAUCGUUGGGCCGACCGGUCUGAUCGCCGCAACACCUGCAGUCUGACUGGCGGCACACGACCGGUCUGACCGCCAGGGUCAACCGAAACUGUACACUUCACAAAAUCAACCAUCUAUAAAAUCUCCAAAUUAACAUUAGCAAACCACCAAUAUUUUCAUCAUAAAAUCUAAAUCAACUCCUUGAUUUUACAAAUACUUGUAUAAAUUAAUCUAGGACAUAUCAUAUCAAGUAUAAGGGGUAGCAGGCUUAGCUAAUUUGGCCACCAAACUAACCUUGAUGGGCAAAGCAAUGGGUUUGCAGUCAAUGGCUAACGAAAAAGCUUCUUCCUGGUGUGAACUCAAUGUGGUGUGAUUUCGAAUUUAGGUCCUAAAUUUAUAUCAGAACAUGACCUCUCGUCAAGGUAAAACUCAAGAUCCAAAUAGGAGACCUUAUAAUCACCGUGCUGGACUACCUAGUCAUUCCUUAAGUGGAUGGGAUUUCCUGGUCCUCUCUUAGGGCAUUCACAGUGGGUUGAGUUGGCAUUCAGCCUUAUCGAUCCUCAACAAAUAUUGUGUGCCACGUUUGUGUCACGCCCGAAAAUUCACUAGUAAUUUCCGAACUUAUUUGUGCAUAAAAUCCUCGUCCAGGAAUCAGCCGAGGUACACAAACUGACAAUUUAAUAUACAGAUUCAUCAAAUUAACUAAAACGAUAAAUACUUACUUAUGAGGCACUUAGUCCUCAUCAUGAAGAAAACUGCAGCGGAAAAUAAAAUCUAGCGAAGCUCCGGCUCCACUCCCACAGGCAGCUCAACUGGGGUAUAAGCCAAACGUCUUCUCCUUCUGGAUUCUUUUUCUUCAACUGAGGUUGAUUGAUUAUUGCAAGGUGAGCAUAUGACAUACUCAGCAAGCCACACAGCAAAUAUGCAAAUGCACAAGGAUACCAAAGGAUGGCAUAAUAUUGGCUCAUUUGCAAAAGCAGCAUUUAGCAAAACAUUUAAGAGAAGUAAAACAGUGGAGUAAUUAAUCAGGAAUUUUAAUCAACACUGAACAGCACACCCAUGCUGCACAGGCCCAACCAUCCUGAACAACCAUACCCGGCUGUACAGAUCUAACUCCAAACCAGGAGCUAAGCAAAUUAUUACCAAUUAAAGCAUCUUUUACAAUGAUGAGAGGUGUGAGACUAAUCACGAAAAACAUUGCUCAACUCGCCCAUAACCGCGGGCACGGCUAUUCGAAUAGUUUUACUCUGGCCAGAGGUGUACCACUGUACCCACAAGACACAGCCUCAACAUCAUGUCUACCAUGCGUCGCGAUACUGGAAAGUACCCGAAUAGAGGCUGUGACAAUACCCUCUGCAUAACACAACUCACCACAGUGCACCAUUCCUGGAUCAUAAUCACCCCCUUAUAAAACAAGGCAUGGACUCCCCAGCGACCCCCGUGGGCUUAUUUCCGCCACUUCUCAGUCUGGUGCUCCGCAAUGAAUCAUGUUAUACAAAAGGUAAAGCCGUUGCCCACGCUGGCUUGUGGUUGGCACGGUUAAUGUUUCACAACAGUAGCUCGCGAACCGGUCCUUAAUUGUCAUGAGCACGACUCUCAAAACCAUGUGCUCACAACCCACCAUUAUCAAGUUUUAGUUGGCAAGUAAUUAAUUAACCAAUCACGAUUGACCAUCGUGAGCUACCAUUAAACCAUCAUUAAAUAAUAAUGAAUCAUAAGUUAUCCCAAUAGUGUGCUAAUGUUUCUAAGCAUGGCUAAGCAAUCACAUCUAAUAUCUAGUUGAACCAAUAUAUAUAAAGCUCAACUAGUCCAAUUAUAAUAACCCAAGGUAUCAAGGAAUAGAGUAAUCAAUGCGAAUAGGCCAUAACAAAGGAAUAGGUUCACACCACCCGGUGACAUUCGAAAAUAAAUGCACAGUUGAAAUAAAUAGAGAAUUUAAAUAUAGGAUCAACAUGCUCAAAGGAUUGUGUUUAGGAUCUGUGUGACUUGCCUUGCAAUAAUCGGUCUUCAAUUAAUCUUCUUGAAUACUUCCGGCGCACUCGCGAACCUUCGCAACGACGGAAACGACAAGCUAACACGCAAAACGAGGAAAAAGACUAAUAAAAACCAAAUAAACAAUACAUAAAAAGUAAACAAACAUGUAGAUCAUAAUUUUAGAUGAAUUAUGAGACUUGAACG
RNAcentral lists this long non-coding RNA (5737 nucleotides) under Oryza sativa (Asian cultivated rice). RNAcentral's name for it is "long non-coding RNA (OSAT_LNC001132)". Lineage: Eukaryota; Viridiplantae; Streptophyta; Magnoliopsida; Poales; Poaceae. The record is from RNAcentral.